Molecule: transfer RNA, 75 nt
Filed under: Paramuricea clavata
Lineage: Eukaryota; Metazoa; Cnidaria; Anthozoa; Malacalcyonacea; Plexauridae
Description: tRNA-Thr
Rfam family: tRNA (bases 1-57)
About the family: Transfer RNA (tRNA) molecules are approximately 80 nucleotides in length. Their secondary structure includes four short double-helical elements and three loops (D, anti-codon, and T loops).
Source: RNAcentral
GACCGUGUAGCUCAGUUGGUAGAGCGUCGAUCUAGUAAUUCGAAGGUCGCGGGGUUCAAGACCCAGACAACAUCU